GACGAACGCUGGCGGCGUGCUUAACACAUGCGAGUCGAACGGAAAGGCCCUGCUUUUGUGGGGUGCUCGAGUGGCGAACGGGUGAGUAACACGUGAGUAACCUGCCCUUGACUUUGGGAUAACUUCAGGAAACUGGGGCUAAUACCGGAUAGGAGCUCCUGCUGCAUGGUGGGGGUUGGAAAGUUUCGGCGGUUGGGGAUGGACUCGCGGCUUAUCAGCUUGUUGGUGGGGUAGUGGCUUACCAAGGCUUUGACGGGUAGCCGGCCUGAGAGGGUGACCGGCCACAUUGGGACUGAGAUACGGCCCAGACUCCUACGGGAGGCAGCAGUGGGGAAUAUUGCACAAUGGGCGGAGGCCUGAUGCAGCAACGCCGCGUGCGGGAUGACGGCCUUCGGGUUGUAAACCGCUUUCGCCUGUGACGAAGCGUGAGUGACGGUAAUGGGUAAAGAAGCACCGGCUAACUACGUG
RNAcentral lists this ribosomal RNA (468 nucleotides) under uncultured bacterium. RNAcentral describes it as "partial 16S ribosomal RNA". It matches the Rfam family "Bacterial small subunit ribosomal RNA", at positions 28 to 507 of the family's 1533-position model. The record is from RNAcentral.